AAGGCCUCUGGAGAGAGGUCAGGGCUGCUUGUGGCCCAUCCAGAGGAAUCUUGGAUGGUGGGAUUUGGGCAUGGCCUUGGCAAGGUCUUUCUCCCAGUGUCAAGGCUGGGGGAGCUGCCUGUGUGCCUCUCCCGACGGCUCCCUCCCUCCCUGGUUCAGGUGUGGAAGUACCCCAAGGUGUGGGAGGGCUUCAUCAAGUGCUGCCAGCGCACCAAGCCCCAGAGCUUCCAGGUCAUCCUGCAGCUGCCGCCCCAGCAGCUGGGAGCUGUCUUUGACAAGUGCCCGGAGCUCCGGGAGCCCCUGCUGGCCCAUGUCCGCUCCUUCACCCCCCACCAGCAAGCUCACAUCCCUAACUCCAUCAUGACCAUCUUGGAGGCCAGCGGCAAGCAGGAGCCAGAGGCCAAGGAGGCGCCUGCGGGGCCCUUGGAGGAGGAUGACCUGGAGCCCCUGGCCUUGGCCCCGGCCCCAGCACCCCGGCCCCCUCAGGACCUCAUCGGCCUGCGGCUGGCCCAGGAGAAGGCCUUAAAGCGGCAGCUGGAGGAGGAGCAGAAGCUGAAGCCGGGAGGAGUGGGAGCCCCCUCCUCUUCCUCCUCCUCUCCCUCUCCCUCGGCCCGGCCGGGCCCGCCCCCGUCUGAGGAAGCCAUGGAUUUCCGGGAGGAGGGGCCUGAGUGCGAGACCCCGGGCAUCUUCAUCAGCAUGGAUGACGACUCGGGGCUGACCGAGGCCGCGCUGUUGGACUCUAGUCUCGAGGGCCCCCUACCCAAGGAGACGGCAGCGGGCGGGCUGACCUUGAAGGAGGAGCGGAGCCCCCAGACCCUAGCACCUAUUGGAGAAGAUGCUGUGAAGACCCCCAGCCCGGCUGCCGAGGACGCCAGGGAACCCGAGGCCAAGGGGAACAGCUGACGGGGCUCGAGGGGGAAGGGGGGUGGGACAGGGACGCGGGGCUGGGGACGGGGCGGGGCUUGACCUGCGGAUGCUUUGCCUUAAAAAAAAA
This 994-nucleotide small RNA is filed under the name Pongo abelii (Sumatran orangutan). Its description in RNAcentral is "retained intron". Lineage: Eukaryota; Metazoa; Chordata; Mammalia; Primates; Hominidae. The record is from RNAcentral.